Molecule: ribosomal RNA, 253 nt
Filed under: uncultured bacterium
Lineage: Bacteria
Description: partial 16S ribosomal RNA
Rfam family: Bacterial small subunit ribosomal RNA
Source: RNAcentral
UACGGAGGGUGCAAGCGUUGUCCGGAUUUAUUGGGUUUAAAGGGUGCGUAGGCGGCCCGUUAAGUCCGUGGUGAAAGCCUCCAGCUCAACUGGAGAACUGCCAUGGAUACUGGCGGGCUUGAGUACAGACGAGGUUGGCGGAAUUGAUUGUGUAGCGGUGAAAUGCAUAGAUACAAUCAAGAACUCCGAUUGCGUAGGCAGCUAACUAGGCUGUAACUGACGCUGAGGCACGAAAGCGUGGGGAGCGAACAGG